This 383-nucleotide ribosomal RNA is filed under the name uncultured Pelotomaculum sp. RNAcentral describes it as "bacterial SSU rRNA". It matches the Rfam family "Bacterial small subunit ribosomal RNA", at positions 997 to 1382 of the family's 1533-position model. Lineage: Bacteria; Bacillati; Bacillota; Clostridia; Eubacteriales; Desulfotomaculaceae. The record is from RNAcentral.
GCGUAUGAAGUACGUUUCACCUCGGGUGACAGGGAGACAGGUGGUGCAUGUUGUCGUCAGCUCGUGUCGUGAGAUGUUGGGUUAAGUCCCGCAACGAGCGCAACCCCUACGUUUAGUUGCUAACGCGUGAAGGCGAGCACUCUAGACGAACUGCCGUUGACAAACGGAGGAAGUGGGGAUGACGUCAAAUCAUCAUGCCCCUUAUGUUCUGGGCUACACACGUGCUACAAUGGCCGGUACAGACGGACGCAAAGCCGCGAGGCGGAGCAAAUCCUAAAAAGCCGGUCUCAGUUCGGAUUGCAGGCUGCAACUCGCCUGCAUGAAGUUGGAGUUGCUAGUAAACGCAGGUCAGCCAUACUGCGUUGAAUACGUUCCCGGGGCUU